AUAAUGACAAGGAAUACUCAUGUGAACCCUAAUGUAAACUCUGGACUUUGGGUGACAAUGGCGUGUCAAGGGAGUUUUAUGCCUAUGUAAUCAGUGCAGACAGCCGUUAAGUAAAUGAAGAGGCAACUAACAAUGUCAGAAAAGAGACCGGGCGGUUCCGGCUGACACUACCCUAAUCUUCCAGGACCCAUUAAAUGGCAGUUUCAACGCAUUACCUACCAUAACAUCCUUGAAUAUCACUGAUUUUAUUUGCAGUAUCAAACAUUCCAUUUCAUGCCCCAUUAACAGUGGGAGCCUGAGCUUUUUGACGCAGCUAAACAUUUUACUAACUACCUGGACUAAGUAACCAAUUAACUUUUGGAGACAAUACGGCCAAUUAAGCGCGAAAAGAAAUAUCAGUGUCGGACAAGAUAUUGCCCUGGUUAUCACCGGCUUGGACUCUUCAGAGAUAAAAACAAACCCUUGUAUGGAGAAGUGUGCCCCGAAUUAACCCUCUGUGGUUUGGGAAAUCAUUUUCUAAAUGGCAGGCAAGGUCGCGGGUGAUGAUUCUGCUUGGAUUUCGCUCCAGUUGACUGGAAUGGCGCACAAGUAAUGAAGGUGGAUAUCACAUUUUGAAAGCUUGAGGCAAAUUUCUUCCCUUUGGUAGGAGUCUUUCAUCUUUGGAGGUAAAGAAGAAAAUCUGUGCUGAAGGGCAUCUUCCAUGGGCCCUGUCUGGUGAAAAUGUG
Molecule: long non-coding RNA, 725 nt
Filed under: Equus caballus (horse)
Lineage: Eukaryota; Metazoa; Chordata; Mammalia; Perissodactyla; Equidae
Description: lncRNA (ENSECAG00000045069.1)
Source: RNAcentral